CAACCGGAUUUUCUAAAAUCCACCCAACUCACCCAACUAUCAAAGU
Non-coding RNA from Thalassiosira oceanica, 46 nucleotides. The record is from Rfam. NCBI's taxonomy places the organism in Eukaryota, Bacillariophyta, Thalassiosirophyceae, Thalassiosirales, Thalassiosiraceae.